RNAcentral lists this ribosomal RNA (276 nucleotides) under uncultured Bacilli bacterium. Its description in RNAcentral is "partial 16S ribosomal RNA". It matches the Rfam family "Bacterial small subunit ribosomal RNA", at positions 274 to 525 of the family's 1533-position model. The record is from RNAcentral. Lineage: Bacteria; Bacillati; Bacillota; Bacilli.
CGAUGAUACAUAGCCCGAGUUGAGAGACUGAUCGGGCCACAUUGGGGACUGAGACACGGGCCCAAACUCCUACGGGAGGCAGCAGUAGGGAAUCUUCCACAAUGGACGCAAGUCUGAUGGAGCAAACGCCGCGUGAGUGAAGAAGGGUUUCGGCUCGUAAAAAGCUCUGUUGUUGGUGAAGAAGGACAGGGGUAGUAACUAGACCCGUUUCGUUUUGUACGGUAAGUACUAAUUAGAAAGUCACGGGCUAACUACGUGCCAGCAGCCGCGGUAAAU